ACUCAUGUAAGAUCGGCACUACAUGUUCUCUAAUGGGUCUAUCUCUGUCAUCUAUUAUUCGAGGAAUAUUAGCAUCCCUUCCUUGUAAUCGCUUUUCUCUAACCUGAUCAUUUCUAAUUCUUUCCAUUUCUCGCAAUUCAUUUCUCCUUAUUCUCAAGGUUCUCUCAAUUUCUAGAUCAAAAGAAUACUAUUCAAUUGCUGAAAUAUUUCUACUCAUGCACCAAAAAAACAAAUCAUGAAAAACAAAAAAAAAUCAAAACACUAAUUAAUCUAAAUUAAAAAAUUUUAAGAGAUAAUAGCAUACCAAAUAUUUCAUCAAAAUCUUGCCGAUCCUUGGCAAUG
This 342-nucleotide long non-coding RNA is filed under the name Gossypium raimondii (Peruvian cotton). Its description in RNAcentral is "long non-coding RNA (GRAI_LNC003041)". The record is from RNAcentral. Lineage: Eukaryota; Viridiplantae; Streptophyta; Magnoliopsida; Malvales; Malvaceae.